This 2492-nucleotide ribosomal RNA is filed under the name Xanthomonas cannabis. RNAcentral describes it as "bacterial LSU rRNA". It matches the Rfam family "Bacterial large subunit ribosomal RNA", at positions 453 to 2925 of the family's 2925-position model. The record is from RNAcentral. Lineage: Bacteria; Pseudomonadati; Pseudomonadota; Gammaproteobacteria; Lysobacterales; Lysobacteraceae.
CCAUCCUCCAAGGCUAAAUACUCCUGACCGACCGAUAGUGAACCAGUACCGUGAGGGAAAGGCGAAAAGAACCCCGGAGAGGGGAGUGAAAUAGAUCCUGAAACCGUGUGCGUACAAGCAGUAGGAGCUCGCAAGAGUGACUGCGUACCUUUUGUAUAAUGGGUCAGCGACUUACUGUUCGUGGCAAGCUUAACCGUAUAGGGGAGGCGAAGGGAAACCGAGUCUGAUAAGGGCGCAUAGUCGCGGGCAGUAGACCCGAAACCGGGUGAUCUAGUCAUGGCCAGGGUGAAGGUGCCGUAACAGGUACUGGAGGCCCGAACCCACGUCUGUUGCAAAAGACGGGGAUGAGCUGUGAUUAGGAGUGAAAAGCUAAUCGAACCCGGAGAUAGCUGGUUCUCCUCGAAAGCUAUUUAGGUAGCGCCUCAUAUGUAUCCUCUCGGGGGUAGAGCACUGUUAUGGCUAGGGGGUCAUCGCGACUUACCAAACCAUUGCAAACUCCGAAUACCGAGACGGACUGUAUGGGAGACACACGGCGGGUGCUAACGUCCGUCGUGAAAAGGGAAACAACCCAGACCCACAGCUAAGGUCCCAAAUUCACUGCUAAGUGGAAAACGAUGUGGAAAGGCAUAGACAGCCAGGAGGUUGGCUUAGAAGCAGCCACCCUUUAAAGAAAGCGUAAUAGCUCACUGGUCGAGUCGGUCUGCGCGGAAGAUUUAACGGGGCUAAGCAGUGAACCGAAGCUUGGGGUGCAUAAAACUUGUUUUAUGCGCGGUAGAGGAGCGUUCCGUAAGCCUGCGAAGGUGGAUUGAGAAGUCUGCUGGAGGUAUCGGAAGUGCGAAUGCUGACAUGAGUAACGAUAAUGCGGGUGAAAAGCCCGCACGCCGAAAGCCCAAGGUUUCCUUGCGCAACGUUAAUCGACGCAGGGUUAGUCGGUCCCUAAGGCGAGGGCGAAAGCCGUAGUCGAUGGGAAGCAGGUUAAUAUUCCUGCACCUCGCGUGAGUGCGAUGGAGGGACGGAGAAGGUUAGGUGUACCGGGCGUUGGUUGUCCCGGGGAAAGGCGGUAGGUUUGAAUCUUUGGCAAAUCCGGGAUUCUUUAAGACCGAGCACCGAGACGAGCCUUUAUGGCGAAGUCACUGAUACCACGCUUCCAGGAAAAGCUCCUAAGCUUCAGCUCACGAAGACCGUACCGUAAACCGACACAGGUGGGUAGGAUGAGAAUUCUCAGGCGCUUGAGAGAACUCGGGUGAAGGAACUAGGCAACAUGGCACCGUAACUUCGGGAGAAGGUGCACCCUUUUUGGUGGCUCAUGCGAGCUAUAGCUGAAGAGGGUCGCAGAAACCAGGCCGCUGCGACUGUUUAUCAAAAACACAGCACUCUGCAAACACGAAAGUGGACGUAUAGGGUGUGACGCCUGCCCGGUGCUGGAAGGUUAAUUGAUGGGGUCAGCCGCAAGGCGAAGCUCUUGAUCGAAGCCCCAGUAAACGGCGGCCGUAACUAUAACGGUCCUAAGGUAGCGAAAUUCCUUGUCGGGUAAGUUCCGACCUGCACGAAUGGCGUAACGACAGCGGCGCUGUCUCCACCCGAGACUCAGUGAAAUUGAAAUCGCUGUGAAGAUGCAGCGUUCCCGUGGCAAGACGGAAAGACCCCGUGAACCUUUACUAUAGCUUUACACUGAACGUUGAGUUCGUCUGUGUAGGAUAGGUGGGAGGCUAUGAAACUGUGGCGCUAGCUGCAGUGGAGCCAUCCUUGAAAUACCACCCUGUCGUGCUUGACGUUCUAACCUAGGUCCGUUAUCCGGAUCAGGGACCGUGUAUGGUGGGUAGUUUGACUGGGGCGGUCUCCUCCUAAAGAGUAACGGAGGAGCACGAAGGUACGCUCAGCGCGGUCGGACAUCGCGCACUGUGUGCAAAGGCAUAAGCGUGCUUGACUGCAAGAUCGACGGAUCAAGCAGGUACGAAAGUAGGUCUUAGUGAUCCGGUGGUUCUGUAUGGAAGGGCCAUCGCUCAACGGAUAAAAGGUACUCCGGGGAUAACAGGCUGAUACCGCCCAAGAGUUCAUAUCGACGGCGGUGUUUGGCACCUCGAUGUCGGCUCAUCACAUCCUGGGGCUGUAGUCGGUCCCAAGGGUAUGGCUGUUCGCCAUUUAAAGUGGUACGCGAGCUGGGUUCAGAACGUCGUGAGACAGUUCGGUCCCUAUCUGCCAUGGGCGUUGGAAGUUUGAGAGGGGCUGCUCCUAGUACGAGAGGACCGGAGUGGACGAACCUCUGGUGUUCCGGUUGUCACGCCAGUGGCAUUGCCGGGUAGCUAUGUUCGGAAGCGAUAACCGCUGAAAGCAUCUAAGCGGGAAGCGCGCCUCAAGAUGAGACUUCCCGGGGCACAAGCCCCCUAAAGGAACCAUGUAGACUACGUGGUUGAUAGGUCAGGUGUGUAAGUACAGCAAUGUAUUGAGCUAACUGAUACUAAUGAUCCGUGCGGCUUGACCAUAUAACCUCA